GACGAACGCUUGCGGCGUGCUUAACACAUGCAAGUCGAACGGAAAGGCCCUGCUUUUGUGGGGUGCUCGAGUGGCGAACGGGUGAGUAACACGUGAGUAACCUGCCCUUGACUUUGGGAUAACUUCAGGAAACUGGGGCUAAUACCGGAUAGGAGCUCCUGCUGCAUGGUGGGGGUUGGAAAGUUUCGGCGGUUGGGGAUGGACUCGCGGCUUAUCAGCUUGUUGGUGGGGUAGUGGCUUACCAAGGCUUUGACGGGUAGCCGGCCUGAGAGGGUGACCGGCCACAUUGGGACUGAGAUACGGCCCAGACUCCUACGGGAGGCAGCAGUGGGGAAUAUUGCACAAUGGGCGGAAGCCUGAUGCAGCAACGCCGCGUGCGGGAUGACGGCCUUCGGGUUGUAAACCGCUUUCGCCUGUGACGAAGCGUGAGUGACGGUAAUGGGUAAAGAAGCACCGGCUAACUACGUGCCAGCAGCCGCGGUGAUACGUAGGGUGCGAGCGUUGUCCGGAUUUAUUGGGCGUAAAGGGCUCGUAGGUGGUUGAUCGCGUCGGAAGUGUAAUCUUGGGGCUUAACCCUGAGCGUGCUUUCGAUACGGGUUGACUUGAGGAAGGUAGGGGAGAAUGGAAUUCCUGGUGGAGCGGUGGAAUGCGCAGAUAUCAGGAGGAACACCAGUGGCGAAGGCGGUUCUCUGGGCCUUUCCUGACGCUGAGGAGCGAAAGCGUGGGGAGCGAACAGGCUUAGAUACCCUGGUAGUCCACGCUGUAAACGGUGGGUACUAGGUGUGGGGUCCAUUCCACGGGUUCCGUGCCGUAGCUAACGCUUUAAGUACCCCGCCUGGGAAGUACGGCCGCAAGGCUAAAACUCAAAGGAAUUGACGGGGCCCCGCACAAGCGGCGGAGCAUGCGGAUUAAUUCGAUGCAACGCGUAGAACCUUACCUGGGUUUGACAUGGAUCGGGAGUGCUCAGAGAUGGGUGUGCCUCUUUUGGGGUCGGUUCACAGGUGGUGCAUGCCUGUCGUCAGCUCGUGUCGUGAGAUGUUGGGUUAAGUCCCGCAACGAGCGCAACCCUUGUUCACUGUUGCCAGCACGUUAUGGUGGGGACUCAGUGGAGACCGCCGGGGUCAACUCGGAGGAAGGUGGGGAUGACGUCAAGUCCUCAUGCCCCUUAUGUCCAGGGCUUCACGCAUGCUACAAUGGCUGGUACAGAGAGUGGCGAGCCUGUGAGGGUGAGCGAAUCUCGGAAAGCCGGUCUCAGUUCGGAUUGGGGUCUGCAACUCGACCUCAUGAAGUCGGAGUCGCUAGUAAUCGCAGAUCAGCAACGCUGCGGUGAAUACGUUCCCGGG
Molecule: ribosomal RNA, 1343 nt
Filed under: uncultured bacterium
Lineage: Bacteria
Description: 16S ribosomal RNA
Rfam family: Bacterial small subunit ribosomal RNA
Source: RNAcentral